UAGAGUUUGAUCAUGGCUCAGGAUGAACGCUGGCGGCGUGCCUAACACAUGCAAGUCGAGCGAGAAACCUGCAAUUGAAACUUCGGUAGAUUUUGCGGGCGGAAAGCGGCGGACGGGUGAGUAACGCGUAGGCAACCUGCCCUUUGCAGAGGGAUAGCAACGGGAAACUGUUAUUAAAACCUCAUAAUACCGACAUGUCAAAUGACAAGACGGUCAAAGAUUUAUCGGCAAAGGAUGGGCCUGCGUCUGAUUAGUUAGUUGGUAGGGUAACGGCCUACCAAGGCAGCGAUCAGUAGCCGACCUGAGAGGGUGAUCGGCCACAUUGGAACUGAGACACGGUCCAAACUCCUACGGGAGGCAGCAGUGGGGAAUAUUGCACAAUGGGCGAAAGCCUGAUGCAGCAACGCCGCGUGAAGGAUGAAGGCCUUUGGGUCGUAAACUUCUGUCCUUGGGGAAGAAAAAAAUGACGGUACCCCUGGAGGAAGUCCCGGCUAACUACGUGCCAGCAGCCGCGGUAAUACGUAGGGGGCGAGCGUUAUCCGGAAUUAUUGGGCGUAAAGAGUACGUAGGUGGUUUUUUAAGCGCAGGGUUUAAGGCGAUGGCUCAACUGUCGUUCGCCCUGUGAACUGGAAGACUUGAGUACAGGAGAGGAAAGCGGAAUUCCUAGUGUAGCGGUGAAAUGCAUAGAUAUUAGGAGGAACACCAGUGGCGAAGGCGGCUUUCUGGACUGUAACUGACACUGAGGUACGAAAGCGUGGGGAGCAAACAGGAUUAGAUACCCUGGUAGUCCACGCUGUAAACGAUGAGCACUAGGUGUCGGGGUCGCAAGAUCUCGGUGCCGCAGUUAACGCAUUAAGUGCUCCGCCUGGGGAGUACGCACGCAAGUGUGAAACUCAAAGGAAUUGACGGGGACCCGCACAAGCAGCGGAACAUGUGGUUUAAUUCGAAGCAACGCGAAGAACCUUACCAGAACUUGACAUCCUCCUGACAGGCCUUUAAUCGGGCCCUUCUUCGGACAGGAGAGACAGGUGGUGCAUGGUUGUCGUCAGCUCGUGUCGUGAGAUGUUGGGUUAAGUCCCGCAACGAGCGCAACCCUUGUCAUUAGUUGCUAACAUUAAGUUGAGGACUCUAAUGAGACUGCCGGGGACAACUCGGAGGAAGGUGGGGAUGACGUCAAAUCAUCAUGCCCCUUAUGUUCUGGGCUACACACGUGCUACAAUGGCCGGUACAACGAGAAGCGAAGUCGCAAGGCGGAGCAAACCUCAAAAACCGGUCCCAGUUCGGAUUGCAGGCUGAAACCCGCCUGCAUGAAGCCGGAGUUGCUAGUAAUCGCGAAUCAGAAUGUCGCGGUGAAUGCGUUCCCGGGUCUUGUACACACCGCCCGUCACACCAUGGAAGUUGGGGGCGCCCGAAGUUGGUCAGAUAAUAGAUUACCUAAGGCGAAAUCAAUGACUGGGGUGAAGUCGUAACAAGGUAACCA
Molecule: ribosomal RNA, 1480 nt
Filed under: uncultured bacterium
Lineage: Bacteria
Description: bacterial SSU rRNA
Rfam family: Bacterial small subunit ribosomal RNA
Source: RNAcentral